Mastomys coucha (southern multimammate mouse) is the source of this 107-nucleotide small nuclear RNA. The record is from RefSeq and is a predicted model, not a curated record. NCBI's taxonomy places the organism in Eukaryota, Metazoa, Chordata, Mammalia, Rodentia, Muridae.
GUACUUGCUUCGGCAGCACAUACACUAAAAUUGGAAUGAUACAGAGAAGAUUAGCAUGGCCCCUGUGGAAGAAUGACAUACAAAUUUGUGAAGCAUCCCAUAAUUUU